Podarcis lilfordi (Lilford's wall lizard) is the source of this 71-nucleotide non-coding RNA. Lineage: Eukaryota; Metazoa; Chordata; Lepidosauria; Squamata; Lacertidae. The record is from the annotation of a GenBank genome assembly.
GGACCAUAGCUCAAUAGUAGAUCAUCUGCCUUGUAUGCAGAAGACCGCAGGUUCAGUCCCCGGCAUCUCCU